UACGUAGGGAGCAAGCGUUGUUCGGAUUUACUGGGCGUAAAGGGGGCGUAGGCGGCGCGGUAAGUCACUUGUGAAAUCUCUGAGCUUAACUCAGAACGGCCAAGUGAUACUGCAGUGCUAGAGUGCAGAAGGGGCAAUCGUAAUUCUUGGUGUAGCGGUGAAAUGCGUAGAUAUCAAGAGGAACACCUGAGGUGAAGACGGGUUGCUGGGCUGACACUGACGCUGAGGCGCGAAAGCCAGGGGAGCAAACGGG
This 253-nucleotide ribosomal RNA is filed under the name uncultured bacterium. RNAcentral's name for it is "partial 16S ribosomal RNA". It matches the Rfam family "Bacterial small subunit ribosomal RNA", at positions 524 to 776 of the family's 1533-position model. The record is from RNAcentral.